CCUUCGAUAGCUCAGUUGGUAGAGCGGUGGACUGUAGAGGACGGUUCUUGUAGACAUCCAUAGGUCGCUGGUUCAAAUCCGGCUCGAAGGA
Molecule: transfer RNA, 91 nt
Organism: Tribolium castaneum (red flour beetle)
Lineage: Eukaryota; Metazoa; Arthropoda; Insecta; Coleoptera; Tenebrionidae
Rfam family: tRNA
About the family: Transfer RNA (tRNA) molecules are approximately 80 nucleotides in length. Their secondary structure includes four short double-helical elements and three loops (D, anti-codon, and T loops).
Source: Rfam